Molecule: long non-coding RNA, 373 nt
Organism: Pezoporus flaviventris
Lineage: Eukaryota; Metazoa; Chordata; Aves; Psittaciformes; Psittacidae
Exons: 3
Source: RefSeq, a predicted model, not a curated record
GGAGAACAGGAUUUGUUUCUUUGAUGUAAAAAGGAUUAGGGUGAAAACAGCUGACUAGUAGGUUCCAGGGAAACAAAGAAUAACUUAUGAAGAUACUUUGAUAGCUGCUAAGAGAUCAACAUCCUUGAGGCUGCUGCUUCUACUGACUACUUAAUCAAUGGUUCCAAAAGUCUGGGGGAGGGAUGGGAGAGUAGGAAGCACAGAAACAUACACAAAAUUUGAUUGAAAUCAGCCUGGGGAAAGCCAGCUCCAUCUGAUUGUAUCAGUACAGGAUAACAUAAAUGAGAAGGUAGUUCCCAAUGACACCAAUAAAAACCACUAGCGAGUAGCAGGGGAUGAUGAGUGGCUUGAAGGACUGAACAAACUGGAGCCC